Magnolia sinica is the source of this 653-nucleotide long non-coding RNA. RefSeq lists it as uncharacterized. The transcript is spliced from 2 exons. NCBI's taxonomy places the organism in Eukaryota, Viridiplantae, Streptophyta, Magnoliopsida, Magnoliales, Magnoliaceae. The record is from RefSeq and is a predicted model, not a curated record.
UUUAGAUUUCGUUUCAUAUGUUCAUAUGAAGAUUGUUCUAUGGUAUUGACAAACAGGUUUCUAGCUCAAUCUGAAUGCUUUCUCAUAACACAGAUAGGUUACUAUGUAGCUCGAGCAUUCAACACGAGCACAAUACGGUGAUCAAGAAUACAAAAGCAGAAAAUCAGGAAAUUUUCAUUUUUUUUUCCAAAUUCCAUAUCAGUCUGUCGACUGUGCUCUGUUCAAUUGUGUUAGCUAUUGCGAUUGUAGAUUCCAUUUCAUGCAUUCAUGUGAAGAUUAUUCUAUGGUACUGACAAAUGGUUUUCUAGCCAAAUCUGGAAGCUUUUCAAAAAACAAACAAACAAACAGAUCAGUUACUAUGUAGCGCAGGCAUUGAAGACAAGCACAAUAAGCUUGGGCAUUGAACACAAGCACAAAAUGGUCAUCAAGAACACCAGAGCAAAGAAAAUGAGGAAAUUUUCAUUUGGGUCUUUUGAAUUCCUUGUCAAUGUUUGCUGAACGUGCUGUGCCGAAUUUGCAUUAGAUAUAGUGAUUGUAAGACUAUGGAAUGUCAAAAUUCCUCCUACACAUUUCCCAAACUACCAUCAUUGCCUAGUGCUGGUUUCAGCUGAUGUUAGAUUCUAUGAUACCUAGAUAUGGAUAUGAUUCAAUGG